CCUACGGGGGGCAGCAGUGGGGGAUAGUGCACAAUGGGGGAAACCCUGAUGCAGCGACGCCGCGUGAGUGAAGAAGGAGUUCGGUAGGUAAAGCUCUAGCAGCAGGGAAGAAAAGGACAGUACCUGACCAAGAAGCCCCGGCUAACGACGUGCCAGCAGCCGCGGUAAUACGUAGGGGGCAAGCGUUAUCCGGAUUUACUGGGUGUAAAGGGAGCGUAGACGGUUCUGGAAGUCUGGAGUGAACGCCCGGGGCCCCACCCCGGGACUGCUUUGGAAACUGUGUAACUGGAGUACAGGAGGGGCAGGCGGCAUUCCUGGUGUAGCGGUGACAUGC
Molecule: ribosomal RNA, 334 nt
Filed under: uncultured bacterium
Lineage: Bacteria
Description: partial 16S ribosomal RNA
Rfam family: Bacterial small subunit ribosomal RNA
Source: RNAcentral